This 378-nucleotide ribosomal RNA is filed under the name uncultured bacterium. Its description in RNAcentral is "bacterial SSU rRNA". It matches the Rfam family "Bacterial small subunit ribosomal RNA", at positions 335 to 705 of the family's 1533-position model. The record is from RNAcentral.
ACUCCUACGGGAGGCAGCAGUAGGGAAUCUUCCACAAUGGGCGCAAGCCUGAUGGAGCAACACCGCGUGAGUGAAGAAGGGUUUCGGCUCGUAAAGCUCUGUUGUUAAAGAAGAACACGUAUGAGAGUAACUGUUCAUACGUUGACGGUAUUUAACCAGAAAGUCACGGCUAACUACGUGCCAGCAGCCGCGGUAAUACGUAGGUGGCAAGCGUUAUCCGGAUUUAUUGGGCGUAAAGAGAGUGCAGGCGGUUUUCUAAGUCUGAUGUGAAAGCCUUCGGCUUAACCGGAGAAGUGCAUCGGAAACUGGAUAACUUGAGUGCAGAAGAGGGUAGUGGAACUCCAUGUGUAGCGGUGGAAUGCGUAGAUAUAUGGAAGA